RNAcentral lists this long non-coding RNA (872 nucleotides) under Rattus norvegicus (Norway rat). RNAcentral describes it as "long non-coding RNA NONRATT020925". Lineage: Eukaryota; Metazoa; Chordata; Mammalia; Rodentia; Muridae. The record is from RNAcentral.
CAGAAAGCUAUGCCGGUUGCAGGUGUCUCAUUACCACCUCUAUCCCAGCCCUGAGCCUGGGAGCCAGACUGCUUCCUGCUCCCCAGCCUUACCAGGCAAGGCUCUCCCAGAGAAGCUCCUGUUACCAAGUUUGUAACCAGAACUGACAGCACUGCACCCUCCCUGCCUCAUAGGAAAAGCAUCAGGGACUGAGGAGCCUCCCAGGACAGGCAAGGGCCUCCUCCCAGCAGCACCAGUCAGGAAACAUCACCAUAGCAACCCUAGCAGCAAACAAUGGUACCAGAAAGGGCUUGCCUCCAAAGCCUCCUCUCCUGGCUCUGUGGCUCAGAAGAAAAAUGGCCAACAGCCCGAAGAAAACAUCCCUCCAGAAGCGAGACCUGAGCCAUGUAUCUCCUACCAGGGAACCUUUCCUGAAGGUCCCAGUACAUAUCUACUGGUGGAAGGCUUGUUCCUUGGGGCCUCCAGUUCCUACCCAACCCACUUCCCAAUAAUUUCAGCAAGAACUGGCCCUGCCCAAAUCUUCAACCUCAUUACCAGGAGACGAUCCUGAAACUGGCUCGACUGCCCACUGUACCCCUGAGCGAAGACCUUGUGAAGGACUACCAAGCCCUGAUUAAAAACCGGUUGGCCAUACCGGUCCACUACCUAUCCAAGGCAGGACCAGCUAAAACAUCAGAGGGAAGGAGGAAAAGGAGACCUGGACAUGUCUGAAAGAAGAGUCCAUAGUGGGCCUUAGGGUUUGCAGCCUAGCCUUCUUCAGCCAAGAGACUCCAGGAGACUAAGGACUCUGGGCCUAAAGAAUAACCUUUCCACCAGCCUCCAGCCUCUUGUCACCUCUGUAUCAGGCUUCUGGAGAUGUUACUGAAGCUCUG